GGAACACAGGUGCUAAUNCCGUAUCACAAUGGAAACCGCCUGGUUUUGAUUUGAAAGGCGCUUUCGGGUGUCGCUGAUGGAUGGACCCGCGGCGCAUUAGCUAGUUGGUGAGGUAACGGCUCACCAAGGCCACGAUGCAUAGCCGACCUGAGAGGGUGAUCGCCCACAUUGGGAGUGAGACACGGCCCAAACUCCUACGGGAGGCAGCAGUAGGGAAUCUUCGGCAAUGGACGAAAGUCUGACCGAGCAACGCCGCGUGAGUGAAGAAGGUUUUCGGAUCGUAAAACUCUGUUGUUAGAGAAGAACAAGGAUGAGAGUAUCUGUUCAUCCCUUGACGGUAUCUAACCAGAAAGCCACGGCUAACUA
This 366-nucleotide ribosomal RNA is filed under the name uncultured bacterium. RNAcentral describes it as "bacterial SSU rRNA". It matches the Rfam family "Bacterial small subunit ribosomal RNA", at positions 151 to 503 of the family's 1533-position model. The record is from RNAcentral.